Molecule: long non-coding RNA, 555 nt
Organism: Drosophila serrata
Lineage: Eukaryota; Metazoa; Arthropoda; Insecta; Diptera; Drosophilidae
Source: RefSeq, a predicted model, not a curated record
UCCUAACAUUUCAAUUGGAAACAAUAAUAUAAAUAAAGUGUAUUGUGAACCUUUUUGUUGAACUUCAACAGCAGGCAUUUGUCUUUAAGGUGUCAAAAAUGCCUAAUUGACGACGUGCGAACAUCGGCCGCCGCACAAGACAAGCAAAACAAGAAACAAGUGUAUUCACACAACUUUAGCGAAGAAAGGCAAAAUAUAAUAGAAGAAAAUGCCAUAUUGAGACAAAGCGUGAGCACAAGAGGAUCAUUGGCAUCAUAAUAUCGCUUGGCAUUCCAAUAUGAUCCCACUGCGAACUACAGUGAUUAUGAAAAUUUGGAUAUUGGACCAAAUACCCCUAUAUUCUGAUAUUGCAAUGCGUUAAAGUUCAAAAGAGAAACGGCUGAAUUGUGUUGCCCAAGUGGAAAAAUCAAACUGGAUCCAUUACUUACACCACCACAGCCACUGAAACCAUUGUGAAGUGAUCCCGAUUCCAGCUAUUUCCUUCAACACAUCCUUGAAUACAAUAACUGCUUCGCAUGACUUCCUUUGAAGCUAAAAUAUAUUAGGUAAAAAUUA